Fukomys damarensis (Damara mole-rat) is the source of this 1801-nucleotide long non-coding RNA. RefSeq lists it as uncharacterized. NCBI's taxonomy places the organism in Eukaryota, Metazoa, Chordata, Mammalia, Rodentia, Bathyergidae. The record is from RefSeq and is a predicted model, not a curated record. The transcript is spliced from 4 exons.
CCUGGACAGACAUUCAUCCCCACGGCAGGUCAGUGCCUGGAGACCUGGCCCUGACCCUUUCCUCCCAUGCGUUAAGGGCUGCAACCAGCCGGAGUGUGUCAGUCUUAUAGGAGCCGAUGAAGCCUGUGCUUGGAGUUUCAGGGGUCUCAGCUCAGCUCAGGGACCCUGCCACUACUUUCCUCCCUCACCCUCCCAUCAGCCCCUGCUGGGCUCACGCUGCACAUCCGGGUGCAGGAUCAUGAGCAGCAGGGCCCAGGCCAGCGUGGUCGAAGUGGUCACCAUCCCUGCCGUGAACAGCCCAGAUGCUGGCUCACUGGGAGGUGCCCAGGCCCCACCUUGCCUCAUGCCUCAUAGGACGCCCAUCUCGGAGCCCUUCUCUGACGGCCACCUCUUACCUUCUCCAUCUCGGUCAGGAAGGUGUCAGUCAGGUCUUUGGGUGGCUGGGCUGGGUCCCAGGUCAUCCUGUGCUCAGUCAGCAGCUCGUCCAGCAGAUCCAUGAAGGCCUUCUGUCCGGGAAAGACCUUGCCUGGAAGGCCGGGGAUGCGCAGGAGGAUGGGGACCGAGUUCAGCACCUGGGACAGCACAGAGAGCAUCCUGGGUCCUUCCUGACAUAAGUGCUCACCUGGACCAGCCUCAGGCCCCAGCCUUCUCUGGGCUGGAUCCAGGGCCUCCUCCACACUCUGUCCGGGCUGGGGCUGCCAAAAGCAACAUCCUAUCCUGGAAAUCUACAAGUGUCGGUGUCUCCCAAGGACAGGAGAUGCAGACUCGGCCCCCUCUGGAGCCCAAACCUGGACACCUCUCCCACUGUUGUGACAUUUGUCACCUCCAGGCCUUUCCUCCUGCAGCAACCUCUCCUAGAAUGCCCUCUCCUCUUCACCCCCUCACCCACCGCAGGGUCCUCUCCUGCCCAGCCUCCCCUGUGUCCUGCACCUUGGGUAAGAUGCCAGACUCUUCCUUCAACAUGUCUUCCAGCAGCUCCAGCAGCCUGACCAAGCGCAGGUCGUCAUACUCGAAGCGGCGGGCAUAGAUGAGAGAGGCAAUCACAUUGCACAUGGCUUUGUUCAGGAGGGCACUGGGGCUAAAGGGGCGUCCUGGGAAUAGGGAUGUGGGGUGUCCCUGUCGCAGUCCGCCCCCUCCUCCCCACCCCUUCCUUCUACCCUUCUUUGCUCCCCUGAGCCCAGCACCUACCGUCCUGGUUGGCAAAGGCGGCACAGAGGCAGGCGGCCUCCUCGGUCACCCACUGCUCCAGCGACUUCUUACCCAGCCCGAAGUUGCGCAGAGUGGACACGGAGAAGCGGCGCAGCUCACGCCAGGCGGGUCCGUAGUGUGCCAGGAUCAGCCCUGGGGCAGCACACCAACAUGUUGUAGAAGUCCACCUGCAGCAGGUUGCCCAGCCCGGGCACUGGCACGGGGCCUGGCGGGUAGUGAGCAGCCCAGCGCUGUCGCCGAUGCAUCAGGUCCACCAGCAGCACGAAGACGGCCACGGCCACGGCCACAGCAGCCCCACUCAGCAGCCCCAUGGCUGUCUCGUGGACCACUGGGCUCCUCUGGAUACACAGAAGCUGUCACCCCUCCACAGACCUAAGGGGCCUGGAAACUGCAUCCUUGGGGGCUGGGACAGGACACCAAUGAUGCUUUCUGGUGACAGAGGAUAAAGGGAGAGGCACCCCAAGAGCACCAUCACCUGGCCUCUAGUAUGAGGUGGACUCAGUGGUACCUGAAUUGUGGCCAUCCAGGAUGAGUGAGCCCCUGGCCAUGAAAGGUAAACUCAGCAGUUGGGAUGCAAAUCCUGUACCUCAUA